GUGGGUAGUUUGACUGGGGCGGUCUCCUCCUAAAGAGUAACGGAGGAGCACGAAGGUUGGCUAAGCAUGGUCGGACAUCAUGCGGUUAGUGCAAAGGCAUAAGCCAGCUUGACUGCGAGAGUGACGGCUCGAGCAGGUACGAAAGUAGGUCUUAGUGAUCCGGUGGUUCUGAAUGGAAGGGCCAUCGCUCAACGGAUAAAAGGUACUCCGGGGAUAACAGGCUGAUACCGCCCAAGAGUUCAUAUCGACGGCGGUGUUUGGCACCUCGAUGUCGGCUCAUCACAUCCUGGGGCUGAAGUAGGUCCCAAGGGUAUGGCUGUUCGCCAUUUAAAGUGGUACGCGAGCUGGGUUUAGAACGUCGUGAGACAGUUCGGUCCCUAUCUGCCGUGGGCGUUGGAAGAUUGAGAGGGGUUGCUCCUAGUACGAGAGGACCGGAGUGAACGCACCACUGGUGUUCGGGUUGUCAUGCCAAUGGCAUUGCCCGGUAGCUAAGUGCGGAAGAGAUAACCGCUGAAAGCAUCUAAGCGGGAAACUUGCCUCGA
Molecule: ribosomal RNA, 542 nt
Filed under: Proteus mirabilis
Lineage: Bacteria; Pseudomonadati; Pseudomonadota; Gammaproteobacteria; Enterobacterales; Morganellaceae
Description: partial 23S ribosomal RNA
Rfam family: Bacterial large subunit ribosomal RNA
Source: RNAcentral